UCAGGUGUGGUGUAGUGUUUUGAGCGUUGGACUAUGACUCUGAAGAUCAAGGUUCAAUUCCCUGCUCCAGCA
Molecule: non-coding RNA, 72 nt
Organism: Phrynosoma platyrhinos (Desert horned lizard)
Lineage: Eukaryota; Metazoa; Chordata; Lepidosauria; Squamata; Phrynosomatidae
Source: the annotation of a GenBank genome assembly